GGUGGCGGAAGGGUCAAGCCGCGCCACGCAGCGAGAGCGCGUCCCCGCGGGGUCUCGCCGGGACCACAAAUCCCGGCAUGCCUCGCGCGUGGCGAGGCUUGUCGCGGGGGUUGCCCCUGGGAGAAUGACAUUGAUAAACCGAAAUCGUUUCAGUUCAAUUAAUAAUUUGGAUCCGCGGGACUCGUUUAUCCUUGGGCGGCGCCUGUGCCCCGCGCCCCGGCGGCGCGGUCUGCAGCGGUGCCCCGCUGUCCCGGUGGGGACGUGGCGUUCGGGGAUGCCGAGGGCUCCGUGCUGGCAGUGAAACCCCUCGAGGCAACGCUCUGCCAGCGGUUUUUUUAAAUUAUUUUAAAUUCUGGGGGCAGAGGAGGGGUGUAACAGCGUUCACUUCUUCCAGUCGCUCAGCUGCCAGCAUCUUCAGCGGGAAGGCCGUGCACGUGGAUACAGAUCCAUCAUUAAUGACAAAAGUUACAGGGUUACAGGGGACAAUUUUGCCUGCUCUGCCCAGCUCUGUCAGGCAGCACUGCCCCCCUGCCUGAGAUGCAGCAGUCCCGCAGAAAGCACAUCGGCAAGGACUAGGAGCAAGCAGUACAUGAAAAAAUUCAUUUUCUUAUAUAGACAUUGUUUCUGUGUCCACUCCUGAAUCUGCACGUGUUGAGAAGUGAGGAUUUUGUGCUAAUUUCAAGGGAACAUUUGCUGUCAUCUACAUUUACUGCAGGGUUUUUCAUCACCCAGAUUUUGGAGGCAUGAGAGGUGUGAAUGGCAACUGUACAGCAUCCUGGCCCUUCCAGAGGAAAUCCAUCUGAACAUUGGACAGUUAGUUUUUUGUUUGGCAUACAAGUGCUACUUGAACAAAGUAAUACUGUCCCAAGCAGUUUGCUAUUGUGCAAUGACAUCACAGAAGUCUCUAGAAUGGUUACUUCUGGGAGCAGCAGCCACUCAGGCUGUUGGCUUACACCAGAGCUGUAACUGGGGUAGAUUUCCAUGUGCUACACAAAGCUCUGCAGACUUGUCAACCUGCAGAACUGAGCUCAGCUCUCCUCAUAUUUGUUCUCUCCCUGGUUUGAGUUUGCUACAGCUACUUCCCCAUCUCACUCACAGGGAGCUGUAGGUCUGGGAGUCCAUGUGUUCCUCAGGCAGCUUCAUAGCAUUGUCCUGGCUGGAGCCAUACAUGACUCCCUACACUGUGCCAGCACUGAGAAAGCCAUGUAACACCAAUUUCCCCUAUGGGAAGAAGCAAACCAGCCCAGGCUGCUGCUGUCCUCUCCAUUCAGGAGUGGACCACUGUAAACCCCUUCUGGCCCCCUUAGCCCUGGAGGAAUAUGGAUGUGUGUGGUGGAU
Molecule: long non-coding RNA, 1338 nt
Organism: Manacus vitellinus (golden-collared manakin)
Lineage: Eukaryota; Metazoa; Chordata; Aves; Passeriformes; Pipridae
Exons: 3
Source: RefSeq, a predicted model, not a curated record